This 1002-nucleotide ribosomal RNA is filed under the name bacterium endosymbiont of Donacia palmata. Its description in RNAcentral is "bacterial SSU rRNA". It matches the Rfam family "Bacterial small subunit ribosomal RNA", at positions 379 to 1374 of the family's 1533-position model. The record is from RNAcentral.
AAGCCUGAUGCAGCUAUCCCGCGUGUAUGAAGAAGGCCUUCGGGUUGUAAGGUACUUUCAACAGGAAAGAAAUAAUAAAAUUUAAUACAUUUUGUUACUGACGUUACUUGUAAAAGAAGCACCGGCUAACUCCGUGCCAGCAGCCGCGGUAAUACGGAGGGUGCUAGCGUUAAUCGGAAUUACUGGGCGUAAAGAGCACGUAGGCGGUUAAUUAAGUCAGAUGUGAAAUCCCUAAGCUUAACUUAGGAACUGCAUUUGAAACUAAUUAACUUGAGUUUCGUAGAGGGGGGUAGAAUUCUAGGUGUAGCGGUGAAAUGCGUAGAUAUCUGGAGGAAUACCAGUGGCGAAGGCGGCUCCCUGGACGAAUACUGACGCUCAGGUGCGAAAGCAUGGGGAGCAAACAGGAUUAGAUACCCUGGUAGUCCAUGCUGUAAACGAUGUCGACUUGAAGGUUGUAAGCUUGACUUAUAGCUUUCGUAGCUAACGCGUUAAGUCGACCGCCUGGGAAGUACGACCGCAAGGUUAAAACUCAAAUGAAUUGACGGGGGCCCGCACAAGCGGUGGAGCAUGUGGUUUAAUUCGAUGCAACGCGAAAAACCUUACCUGGUCUUGACAUCCAUGGAAUUUAAUAGAGAUAUUUUAGUGCCUUCGGGAACCAUGAGACAGGUGCUGCAUGGCUGUCGUCAGCUCGUGUUGUGAAAUGUUGGGUUAAGUCCCGCAACGAGCGCAACCCUUAUUCUUUGUUGCCAUCAGUUAGGCUGGGAACUCAAAGAAGACUGCCGGUGAUAAACCGGAGGAAGGUGAGGACGACGUCAAGUCAUCAUGGCCCUUACGACCAGGGCUACACACGUGCUACAAUGGUAUAUACAAAGAGAAGCAUCCUUGUAAAAGUAAGCGGAUCUCACAAAUUAUAUCUUAGUUCGGAUUAGAGUCUGCAACUCGACUCUAUGAAGUCGGAAUCGCUAGUAAUCGUAGAUCAGAAUGCUACGGUGAAUACGUUCC